Molecule: long non-coding RNA, 1074 nt
Organism: Strigops habroptila (Kakapo)
Lineage: Eukaryota; Metazoa; Chordata; Aves; Psittaciformes; Psittacidae
Exons: 6
Source: RefSeq, a predicted model, not a curated record
ACACGCGGUGGUUGCUUGAGGAGGGGCAGCAGCCGCAUCUCUAGGCGACCUUUCUCUCCCCCCCGCCUUCAGCCCAUCAGAACAAUGCUAGUCGUUCUUCACACUUCUUUAAAUAAAUCUUCAUUAUUUUCUUUAUGUGAGAUGUAUAGAUAUCAUUAUCUCGGUUCCCUGGUGGUGUCAAUAAAUUGGUUUGAAUUGCAACACAGUAUUGCUUCACUAGAGACCUGAACAGUGUUCAGAGCUUCUGUGACAUUAAAGGUUGUUGCUUGGAUAUCUCUCUGAAUCGUAUUUUGGGGACAAAAGUUCUUGUGUAGAAAACACCAGCACACUGAAUCUCACGAGUUCUUCUGUGCAAGGCCUGAAUAGCGCAUGUGUAGGAAGAACACCCCUCUCUUCUAGCCGAUCUGUUUGCGGAAGCCAUACCCCUCUUAUGGGAUAUUCAGUUACAUCCUCAUCUGCAGUCUCUGCUCAUACUGCUGCGUCAGUUAUUGUAGCUGUUGUAGAAGGAAGAGGCCUUGCCAGAGGUGAAGUAGGAAUGGCCAGUAUUGACUUAAAAAAUCCUGAGGUGAUAUUAUCACAGUUUUCAGACAAUACAACUUAUGCCAAGCAGUGCCAAUAAAGCUUAUCCUGAUCUUGACACACACAGAUUACUGAGUUCUUCGUUCCGUGGGCAUACCUGAUACUGUAUUGACCAUCCAGUCAAAAAAACCCCGAAACCCCAAACAAAGAACCCCAAAACAAAACAACUCAACUCCCAAAACUUCUCCCCAGAUGCACUACAUGGCUUAGUUUCGUAUCUCAUUCUUUAACACGUUUAACAGUACUGUCUUAUCUGCUGAUCAGCUGCUUUUUUACAGUGUCACUAUCCGUGUUUUGCUAGUGAUGGAUAUCAAGCUUAUUUUAUUUUUCUUGUGCACCCUUUUAUUUUUGAAUGUUCUGUAAAUUAAUUCAUUGAAGUUUUCUUGUAUUCUUUAAGUUCCUCAAGGUUUGCCUUGUCUGUGAUGCCUCUGAGAAAAACUUCCUAAUGAUUACAAGACAUGACGGGCAGCAGCAGCUCUCUCUCCCAUCCUGCAA